This 406-nucleotide ribosomal RNA is filed under the name uncultured bacterium. RNAcentral's name for it is "partial 16S ribosomal RNA". It matches the Rfam family "Bacterial small subunit ribosomal RNA", at positions 30 to 526 of the family's 1533-position model. The record is from RNAcentral.
AUUGAACGCUGGCGGCAGGCCUAACACAUGCAAGUCGAACGAGUGGCGGACGGGUGAGUAAUGUCUGGGAAACUGCCUUAUGGAGGGGGAUAACUACUGGAAACGGUAGCUAAUACCGCAUACCAUCAGAUGUGCCCAGAUGGGAUUAGCUAGUUGGUGGGGUAACGGCUCACCAAGGCGACGAUCCCUAGCUGGUCUGAGAGGAUGACCAGCCACACUGGAACUGAGACACGGUCCAGACUCCUACGGGAGGGAGCAGGGGGGAAUAUUGCGCAAUGGGCGCAAGCCUGAUGCAGCCAUGCCGCGUGAAUGAAGAAGGCCUUCGGGUUGUAAAGUUCUUUCAGUAGGGAGGCGUUACCCACAGAAGAAGCACCGGCUAACUCCGUGCCAGCCGCCGCGGUAAUAC